This 1265-nucleotide long non-coding RNA is filed under the name Papio anubis (olive baboon). Its description in RNAcentral is "lncRNA (ENSPANG00000042528.1)". The record is from RNAcentral. Lineage: Eukaryota; Metazoa; Chordata; Mammalia; Primates; Cercopithecidae.
AUGGUUCUUCUACCACCAGAUGCUACUGAGGCUAAACUGGUUAGACUGAGUAAAAAUAUCUAUGGGGAAAACUGUCUUUCAGAAUCCUACUUUGAACUAGAGAAAUCCAUUCUCUUGAGGCUGUCUGCUGUGGAGAAGUUGGCCUUACCAAUCUGCCUUUGGAGUUCAAGUUAUACAGGAUCUGCAAGGCUACCUGUGACUGAAUGGUUGGUUGGUCAUUACAAAGUUUUUCAGGAGCUCCUGAAAGAUUACUGCAUAAGCAAGGGAGGAUGGAGACCAGACCUCUGGCUACUGUUGCUGCCACCACCACAGCCACCACUUUCAUCCUUAUGAACCCCCUAUUUACUGCACACUCUCUAUAUGCCAGGUACCAGGCUCCACACCUGUGAAAUAGGGGACUGUUAUUUCCCCUAUUUUAUAAAAGAGGAGCUGAGGCUCAGAGAGAUUAUGUUACUUGCCCAAGAUCACAUAGCUAGUAAGUGGCAGAGAUGAGUUUCUGUCUGAGUCCAGCUUACACCCUAACUGAUAUUCUUGAAAAUCAGGCUGGAGAGAAAAUGAUAAGAUGUGAGAAUUUUGGUGCUAUGAUUUGAAUUUUCCUUCAAAAGCUCAUGUUGAAACUUAAUCCCAAAUGUAACAAUACUAAUAGGUGGGGUCUUUAACAUGGAGUCCCAGAAUUGGAUCAUGAGGGCUCUGCCCUAAUGAAUGAAUUACUCCAUUCAUGAUUAAUGGAUUAAUGGAUCAUCAUGGGAGUGGAACAGUGGCUUUAUAAGAAGAAGAAGAGAGACCUGAGGUAGAACACUCAGCGCCCUUGCCAUGUGAUGCUCUGUACUGCCUUGGGACUCUGCAGAGGCUCUCUACUAGCAAGAAGGUCCUCACCAGAUGCAGCCCCUUGACUUUGGCCUUCUUAGCUUCUACAACUGUAAUAAAUAAUUUUUUCUUUAUAAAUUACCCAGUUUUGGGUGUUCUAUUAUAAGCAAUGAAAACCAGACAAAUACAUUGAGUUAUAAUUAUGAUAUUUAAGAUGGAGGAAAAUGAACAUGGAAAACACUAGAGAAAUGAAUGCUAAACUAGAGCACAAGCAUUGGGACUGUGAAAAAAAGAGAUAUUUGAAAUAUUUUAAAGAUAUGGAAUUUAAAAGAUUAUGAAACAGAUAAAGUAUAAGAGAAAGAGAGAAAAUGAAAAAUUAUCCCAAGAUUGCAAACCCUUAGUAUUGUUGAAACACUCAGAGCCAGGGAAAAAAGUCAAAAGGAAGAGCUGGCUUGUAG